GAUGAAGAACGUAGCGAAAUGCGAUAAGUAAUGUGAAUUGCAGAAUUCAGUGAAUCAUCGAAUCUUUGAACGCACAUUGCGCCCGCCAGUAUUCUGGCGGGCAUGCCUGUUCGAGCGUCAUUUCAACCAUCAAGCCCUGCUUGCGUUGGGGUCCUGCGGCUGCCCGCAGGCCCUGAAAACCAGUGGCGGGCUCGCUAGUCACACCGAGCGCAGUAAUACAUCUCGCUUUGGGCGUGCGGCGGGUUCUUGCCGUUAAACACCCCCUUUUUACCAAGGUUGACCUCGGAUCAGGUAGGAAUACCCGCCGAACUUAAGCAUAUCAAUAAGCGGAGGA
RNAcentral lists this unclassified non-coding RNA (334 nucleotides) under soil metagenome. Its description in RNAcentral is "partial contains 5.8S ribosomal RNA, internal transcribed spacer 2, and large subunit ribosomal RNA". The stretch from base 1 to 120 matches the Rfam family "5.8S ribosomal RNA", at positions 35 to 154 of the family's 154-position model. The record is from RNAcentral.